Molecule: long non-coding RNA, 2417 nt
Organism: Columba livia (rock pigeon)
Lineage: Eukaryota; Metazoa; Chordata; Aves; Columbiformes; Columbidae
Exons: 3
Source: RefSeq, a predicted model, not a curated record
GUACGAGAGGGGAGACCAGCAGGGUGUGUGCUGUGUUUUUUUUCGUAUGUGCAUAUAAAGAUAGAAAGAAGUGUCUACGGAACACAUGCAGAACACGCCACCAGGCACCGCCGGUCCCCCGGCCGUGCCGCAGUCCAGCCCAGGGCUCCCCCGCUCCCCGUGGGACCGCGGCGGCCACCUCCAGUGCAGAUGUGCCUCCCACCCCCCCCACCAGGAUCUCUCCUCUGGACUUAGAGAGAAGAGGAAAAGGCAGAUUUUGAGAAAUGAAAAUUAUUUUAAGGAUGUCCCUGCUGCCUCUCUCUGCUGCCCUCCUCUGUAACACUGAAGCACUUGCAAAAAAUAAUACAAAGUAAAUAAAUGAUGAAAAAAAAAAAACAACAACCCACGAAACUCUUUUGGACAGAAGAGCUGGCGAGAAGCAAUCAAAGACCCUUCUAGGCUCUUUGGAGGAAACACACAGGCCCCCGGUUUGGGGGAGGCUACUAAUGGUUAUUGUUCCUAAUCUGCACUCCCCAGCCAGGGGCAGGAGCCCCCUGCCCAAACUGGCCCCGACCCACCUCACCACGGGCUGGCAAAGGACUCGCGUUACAAGGUACCCAACACGGCUUUUCCUGGGGCUCCGCAUUCAGCAGAGGCAGUUGGGAAUGAGUUUUCUCAUGCAAGGUCCAUCGAUGUAAAUCAGAUGCCGAGUCCGCUCAGCCAGCUCCAUCAGGGGAGGGGACUUUUGCAUGUGGAUAAAACCUGCGUCCCGGUACCCCCACCGAGCUGGGACCCAGCCACGGAGCACACCCCAAGGUGACCAGCAGGUCCCUCUUGUCCACACCAGGACACAGCAAACCUCUCAUCUCCACGGGAUUUCACGGGCAGGUGACACAUCUGCAACCCCAGACAGCCAAGAGGCUGCAGCAAAAGUUUUAAAGAAUGGAGACGGCGGUGCUGGGCAAAGCAGAGACCUUCUCAGGAGAAGAGGUACCAACACCUAGAUACGUGGUUACAGCGAUGCUUGAUACUCUCAUUUACAAGAAUGAUCAAAGAAACCUCCUUAAAUCUGGAACAAAGCAAAUGGAAUAAAGGCUAAAACUGAAUGAGCUGGUUAUUGUAAACAGCAGUAUUAUACUUAUUUGUUUCUCAUCUCCUAUGCACCAGCUUUAGUCCACUGAAUAGCUACGGAAUUCACUGGCAUUAUUCCUAAUUUUACAAUGAUUUGGGAGAAGAGGGGACAAAGGCAAGCAAACAAAGCUAAUUGCCUUCAGUGUUUUGUUUAUCUAGCUUUUGUUCGGCCAAACAAAGAGGACGCUCAGGUUCAAGCUGACUGUGGAGCCACAGAACUGUCUCCCGGCUGCUGGAAAACACUUUGCAAUUCUGGCAUCCAGCAUCUUCAGCAACUACAACUAGCAAGUACUUUCUUACCUCCAUCUGGUCACUAUAGAAACUCCGGUGACUUCAGCCACUAUUACUACAGCUUGGUGGACCUUGCAGAGUCCCUCCAAAGGAGCAGGAAAGUCCCCCGAGAGCCAAUGCCUUGGUCAUAAAAAGAACAAAGCCAGGAGAUUAAUCACUGGAUGUUAUUUCCAAUGCAAAAGUCCAAGCAGGAAAAGUCUCAAUUUUAAUAACAAAGCUAUGCACUCUCGCCCAUCCAUACCAACACGCUUUUGUUCUUUGUGCCAGAAAAGAACACACUGAGCAGAAAUGUAAAUAAUAUGGCACGCUAUGCAGAGAGAGCAUGCUGCUGGCAACAGGCAGUGGAACACGGACUACAUGAACCACAACCAACCAGUCUGGCCGGCUUUGGUUGCUGUCUCUGUGUCAGCCAAGCAUCUAAAAUUUCCCAGCACAGUCUGAGCAAAGCAGCAGGACUCCCAGGCAUCAAGCAGAGGAGCAACAAGGAAAAGGGAGUCUGGGAAUCAUAGAAUAUUUUGGGCUGGAAGGGACCUUCAAAGCUCCCCCAGUGCCCCCCCUGCCAUGAGCAGGGACAUCUUCACCAGCUCAGGUUGCUCGGAGCCCCGUCCAGCCUGUCCUGGGAUGUCUCCAGGGAUGGUUCAUCCACCACCUCUCUGGGCCAGGCUCUCACCACCCUCAGUGUGAAAAAUUUCCUCCUCAUGUCCAGCCUGAAUCUCCCUCCUUUAGUUUAAAACCAUUGCCCCUUUAGUACAUGUUCCCCACCCUUGCUGUGCCCACUGUCUUGAACACCCUUCUCAAAUGAGAUUUUACAAUAAAGUUUUAAUGCUUCAAGCAUUGCAGGUUUGGGAACAGUUCUUAAAGUUAGGUUCCUGAAUGCUUUUAUGUUUCUUGAGUAGAAUGGGCUACCCUGUAGCACUAAGUGGAGGCUGGAUUUGGAUGAGCCUUGUCCAGUGUCCAGGACAGACAUGCACAGGGUGUCUGACCAGCUCAGGGCUUGUUGCUCAGUAACCGCAGCU